This 290-nucleotide long non-coding RNA is filed under the name Elaeis guineensis (African oil palm). RNAcentral describes it as "long non-coding RNA (EGUI_LNC033552)". Lineage: Eukaryota; Viridiplantae; Streptophyta; Magnoliopsida; Arecales; Arecaceae. The record is from RNAcentral.
UGAUGGAUAUUGAAGUUUCUAAUUUUUCUCAAUUUUACUAUGUCAAGUCAGAAAAAAAUUUAAAUAAUGGAUUGAAGUUUUUUUUGGUGAUCAAGAUGUUUUAGACAUGGUUUCAGACAUUCCUCUAGAUGGCAUGAUACAUAUUUAUAUGGAACAUAGAGAUGAAGUUGUGAGUGCUCAGCAGGAAGCUAUGCCAAAGCCAGUGUAGUAGGAGCAGCUACAGCCUUAUUCAGUUGCUGAGCUAUUGCUCAAUUUAAAAUAUGUGCCCAUUCAUUUAUAUGGAGAACCUA